AUAUUGUAAUGUUAACUUGUUAGAAUAGGAGAGGCGAAUACCCAAUAUUUCAAGAAGAAUAAACGAAAAGCGCAGUUUAUUUUGGAUUUUAAAGAGAGAAAACGAAAAUGGUUAACAAGGAGAAAAAGAAAUCAUUUGGACCAUUGGUAAAAUUCAAAUCUAUUGCGUGCAGCAACCAAAUAAUGGAGUAUGUUUUAAAUUAUUAAAGUUAAAUAGUGUAUAUUUAAUUCAAAUAUUUGUUAUAGAUUGUGCAUUUUAUUUUGAUUUUAUUAUUAAAUAAAGAGAAAUAAUAAAAAAA
Bactrocera dorsalis (oriental fruit fly) is the source of this 298-nucleotide long non-coding RNA. RefSeq lists it as uncharacterized. The record is from RefSeq and is a predicted model, not a curated record. NCBI's taxonomy places the organism in Eukaryota, Metazoa, Arthropoda, Insecta, Diptera, Tephritidae. The transcript is spliced from 3 exons.